UACAGAGGGUGCAAGCGUUAAUCGGAAUUACUGGGCGUAAAGCGUGCGUAGGUGGUUUGGUAAGUCAGAUGUAAAAGCCCUGGGCUCAACCUGGGAACGGCAUUUGAUACUGUCGGACUCGAGUUCGGUAGAGGGUAGUAGAACUCCCGGUGUAGCGGUGAAAUGCGUAGAUAUCGGGAGGAAUACCAGUGGCGAAGGCGGCUACCUGGACUGAAACUGACACUGAGGCACGAAAGCGUGGGGAGCAAACAGGAUUAGAAACCCG
RNAcentral lists this ribosomal RNA (265 nucleotides) under uncultured bacterium. RNAcentral describes it as "partial 16S ribosomal RNA". It matches the Rfam family "Bacterial small subunit ribosomal RNA", at positions 524 to 788 of the family's 1533-position model. The record is from RNAcentral.